AGCAGCCGCGGUAAUUCCAGCUCCAAUAGCGUAUAUUAAAGUUGUUGCAGUUAAAAAGCUCGUAGUUGAAUUUCGGGAUUAGUAAGUUGGUCGUGCCUCUGGUAUGUACUGGCUUUACUGGUUCCUCCUUCUUGAAGAACUGUAAUGUCAUUAAUUUGGUGUUGCAGGGAAACAGGACUGUUACUUUGAAAAAUUAGAGUGUUUAAAGCAGGCUAACGCUUGAAUACAUUAGCAUGGAAUAAUGAAAUAGGACGUUUGAUCCUAUUUUGUUGGUUUCUAGGAUUGACGUAAUGAUUAAUAGGGAUAGUUGGGGGCAUUAGUAUUCAAUUGUCAGAGGUGAAAUUCUUGGAUUUAUUGAAGACUAACUACUGCGAAAGCAUUUGCCAAGGAUGUUUUCAUUAAUCAAGAACGAAAGUUAGGGGAUCGAAGACGAUCAGAUACCGUCGUAGUCUUAACCAUAAACUAUGCCGACUAGGGAUCGGAUGAUGUUAAUUUUAUGUACUCAUUCGGCGCCUUACGG
Molecule: ribosomal RNA, 520 nt
Filed under: uncultured Glomeromycotina
Lineage: Eukaryota; Fungi; Glomeromycota
Description: SSU rRNA
Rfam family: Eukaryotic small subunit ribosomal RNA
Source: RNAcentral